ACUAAACACUUUCUUUGUUUUAUCUCAUAGUUUGUUUCUUCUGAUAAGUGCUUACGAUCCUAUAAAAAUUUUCUCACAAUUUUAAAUACUGAGUCUAUUUCUAAUAUAGUGCUUGAAAAAUUAUUUUGUGAAAAAUAAAAGAAUGUUGUGAUUAUAGAAAUGCAUGCACUUGAUAAAAAUCAUACAUGAAAAAUUAUGGAUCUACCUAAAGGUAAGAAAUAUGUAGGAUGCAGAUAGGUUUUUACUAUCAAAUACAAGACAGAUGGGAC
Molecule: long non-coding RNA, 269 nt
Filed under: Carica papaya (papaya)
Lineage: Eukaryota; Viridiplantae; Streptophyta; Magnoliopsida; Brassicales; Caricaceae
Description: long non-coding RNA (CPAP_LNC000308)
Source: RNAcentral